Molecule: long non-coding RNA, 544 nt
Organism: Bos taurus (domestic cattle)
Lineage: Eukaryota; Metazoa; Chordata; Mammalia; Artiodactyla; Bovidae
Source: Ensembl
CCCGAGAGCCACUUCUGCUGCAGUGAUCCAUGAGCCGCCAGAACAGAGGGAUCAAGAGAGUGCGGGAAUGUGGCACUGUCCACCGAGCUCCUCAGGGAGCCUUUAGGGAUUUGCUUUCCAUAAAUAAAUGAGUUCUUGCAGAACAAAAGCUGAAAAUAAACAACCCCCCAAAUUCAGUGGCUGACAACCGUGAACACUUAUUCGACUCACAGGUGGCUCCACUGCACUGCGAGAGGACCAGUGGAAAUAUACAAUGCCUUUUAAGACUUGGCUUGGAACUAGAUCACUGUCACUUCCAGCCAUCAUCCAAUGGCCAAACCAAAUCACAUGACCAAACCCUCCAUCAUGGGAUAAGGGAGAGGCACUGCCUCAAGGGAGAGGGGAGGGAAUAUUUGCUGAGCGAUAAUCCAAUCUAUUAAAGCAUGUAAAGCCCCUGGCACUGUGCCUGGCAUAGAAACUCAGACUAUUAAUUCCCUUUCAUCCCAUGUUGCGUCAUUACUAUAUUUUACAGCUCAGAUUAAUUCAUUAUAAUUCACUGUAAUAA